GACGUAGGGGGCAAGCGUUAUUCGGAAUUAUUGGGCGUAAAGCGCUCGUAGGCGGGACUGGAAGUCCGUGUUGAAAGACCUCGGCUCAACUGAGGGACCGGCUCGGAUACUGGCAAGCUAGAGUGCGGUAGAGGGUAGUGGAAUUCCCGGUGUAGCGGUGAAAUGCGUAGAGAUCGGGAGGAACACCAGUGGCGAAGGCGGCUACCUGGACCAGCACUGACACUGAGGCACGAAAGCGUGGGGAGCAAACAGG
Molecule: ribosomal RNA, 253 nt
Filed under: uncultured bacterium
Lineage: Bacteria
Description: partial 16S ribosomal RNA
Rfam family: Bacterial small subunit ribosomal RNA
Source: RNAcentral